ACCGGGAAGAGCUCAAUUUGAAAUCUGGCGUCCUCAGGGCGUCCGAGUUGUAAUCUAUAGAGGCGUUUUCCGUGCCGGACCGUGUCCAAGUUCCUUGGAACAGGAUAUCAAAGAGGGUGACAAUCCCGUACUUGACACGACGACCGGUGCUCUGUGAUACGUCUUCUACGAGUCGAGUUGUUUGGGAAUGCAGCUCAAAAUGGGUGGUGAGUUCCAUCUAAAGCUAAAUAUUGGCGAGAGACCGAUAGCGAACAAGUACCGUGAGGGAAAGAUGAAAAGCACUUUGGAAAGAGAGUUAAACAGUACGUGAAAUUGUUGAAAGGGAAACGAUUGAAGUCAGUCGUGACCGAGAGGCUCAGCCGGUUCUGCCGGUGUAUUCCCCUCGGUCGGGUCAACAUCAGUUUUGUCCGGUGGAUAAGGGCGGUAGGAAGGUGGCACCCUCGGGUGUGUUAUAGCCUGCCGUCGCAUACAUCGGGUGAGACUGAGGAACGCAGCUCGCCUUUAUGGCCGGGGUUCGCCCACGUCCGAGCUUAGGAUGUUGACAUAAUGGCUUUAAACGACCCGUCUUGAA
This 571-nucleotide ribosomal RNA is filed under the name Papiliotrema laurentii. RNAcentral describes it as "LSU rRNA". It matches the Rfam family "Eukaryotic large subunit ribosomal RNA", at positions 97 to 658 of the family's 3401-position model. Lineage: Eukaryota; Fungi; Basidiomycota; Tremellomycetes; Tremellales; Rhynchogastremaceae. The record is from RNAcentral.